RNAcentral lists this ribosomal RNA (252 nucleotides) under uncultured bacterium. RNAcentral's name for it is "partial 16S ribosomal RNA". It matches the Rfam family "Bacterial small subunit ribosomal RNA", at positions 524 to 776 of the family's 1533-position model. The record is from RNAcentral.
UACGUAGGUCCCGAGCGUUGUCCGGAUUUAUUGGGCGUAAAGCGAGCGCAGGUGGUUUAUUAAGUCUGGUGUAAAAGGCAGUGACUCAACCAUUGUAUGCAUUGGAAACUGGUAGACUUGAGUGCAGGAGAGGAGAGUGGAAUUCCAUGUGUAGCGGUGAAAUGCGUAGAUAUAUGGAGGAACACCGGUGGCGAAAGCGGCUCUCUGGUCUGUAACUGACGCUGAGGUUCGAAAGCGUGGGUAGCAAACAGG